CAGUGAAGUUGAAAUUGAAUGGAGCAUGUUGAAAUUAGAGCUAUAUAACAGAUUUCAGAACAUCCAGACCUUGACAUGGGAUUCGGUGAAUGCACAUUAUUCAAAGAAGUAUCCCAGUAUCCUGGCAUUGGUAGAUCUGAUCCUAACUCUGCCAGCAAGCUCAGCUGAAAUAGACCAAGGCUCUGGAAAAGAAAGUCAUCAUGAUGCAUCUGCACUCUAAACUGAUGUCUGAAAGUGUGACAAUGGAUCUUAUGACAAUCCAGAUGAAUUCUCCAGAUAUCAAAAAAUUUGACCCCCAACAAGCUAUUCAUUUGUGGAAUACUACUUGGCAGAAAAAUAGUAUGCUUAAGGCAGAUGAUAUGAUGAUAAAUAAAAGAUCAGUUUGCUUCUCUGAGUUUGAUUUGGAGAAUCAGGGUGGAAGUGAUUAGAUGAUUUCCUUCAAAAUCAUUCUUGUAACAUCUAUGGACACUUUACCAACAUAUCUUGCAAGAUUAAUGAGUGUUAAAUCUCUAUCUUUUCCAUAAUGUACUACAAUUUUUAAAAAUAACUUUUCUUUCUA
This 559-nucleotide long non-coding RNA is filed under the name Gallus gallus (chicken). Its description in RNAcentral is "long non-coding RNA NONGGAT011677". Lineage: Eukaryota; Metazoa; Chordata; Aves; Galliformes; Phasianidae. The record is from RNAcentral.